Molecule: long non-coding RNA, 1344 nt
Filed under: Canis lupus familiaris (dog)
Lineage: Eukaryota; Metazoa; Chordata; Mammalia; Carnivora; Canidae
Description: lncRNA (ENSCAFG00000053195.1, ENSCAFG00805024500.1, ENSCAFG00845023538.1)
Source: RNAcentral
AUCAUUUAUUGCCUCUAUAAAAGUUUAAAUAAAAACCCUACAAAAAUCACAUUACAGUGAUGUGCUUUUAAGGUGGUAAUAUAUUUCAGAGGUAGUAUCAGUAAAAUGGGAUGCAGGAUCACUUAAAGGAAUUACUUAACAAGUUAAUACAAAAUAAAAUUUCAAUUCAGAGCAAUAUAUACUCAGUAUAAACUUUAACGGAGCAAUCAAUUGUAUUUUCAUGAAAAUAUUAUUUUAUUCUUUUUCCCUCUUAGCAAAUCUGUUCUUAAUAAUGGUUUGUUUGGGGCGAUAUGCUAACUGUAGUCUCCCAAAUUAUCAGGAUCCUCCCUUAUAUCAUCACAGAGCAUAGCUUGAUAGGAUGAGUAUGAUAGUGUUGUCUGCCAAGGAUAACACCAACUUCAAAGAUAAACAUUAAUUCAUCUUUUAGACACUAUAGCACUGAUGGUUCCCUUAAAAAGGUAAUUUGACAGAAUAUGUCACUUUGAGGACCUGAAUGAAAAUCUAAUAUAUUUUUUAAAAUAGACAAUAUUCCUUGUAUACCAUUACUAUAAUGUGGGAGAAGGGCAGAAUUUAAAUUUUCUCAGAAUUUCUCCUAGAAAAUAAUAAUGAACCAUCAGGCUAAGGGGGGGGAAUUAUUCCUUGGAAAUGGGCUGACUGUCCCCUCCUCCAAAACAUAAAGCAAUAAAGUAUAAUUUAGAGCCUAGAAUUCUUUUAAAUACACCACUUACGUUUUCUCCUACAAACUUAAAAUGGCUGAAUAUGGAAGUGUCUUAAAAUAGAUGCUGCUUCCUUUGGGGAAAUGGCCUCUCCAACAUUUCUUGAAGUCUGGUAGUAUAGAGAGCACAAGAUGUGAUUGGUUUGUAGCUUUUUCUUCUUCAACAAUAACAUUUUAUCAUUAUUACAAUGGUAGCAUAGAAGUCCUAAUGUGGAUACCUGACCUUAUAACAAAAUAUCCCAUUUCCAUGAAAAGAUUAAUUUUCUUUUUCUUAAACGUUUAUUCACUAUAGAGAGAGAAAGAGACAGCAAGUGGGAGAGGGGCAAAGGGAGAAGCAGACCUCUGCUGAGCAGGAAGCCCAAUGCUGGGCUCCAUCCCAGGACCCUAAGAUCAUGACCUGAGCCAAAGGCAGUUGCUUAACCAACUGAGCCACCCAGGUGCCCUCCAAAAAGACCAAUUUUCUUUUUAACAUUUUCCUUGCAUGUGCUAAGUUUCCUAUUUUCCAGGAUAACUGCAGUUCUCAUUUUCUUGUGACUAACAUUAGCUUGGGUGGAAUGAGGAGGGUACCUUCAGGUUAUUUUUAAUACACAUUUUAAGGUAAGUGCCCUUAGAUAAACAUUUGUUACUUA